AGCAAAGCCAAAGCUGUGUUCACAAACUAAAGGACUAGUAAUAUCAGCAGAGCAAUUGGUACUCAAGUUGUACACAUGAGCAAAGCCAGGUACCUGCAACUGGAUUUUUGUAGAAACUGCUUUGGCCUUCCAUUAGUCUUCCUCCCCACUGCAAGGAGCGAUGUCUUCGUCCUCCAGCCCAAAAGGUUGUUCUUGUUGUUGCCAGGUGAAAACAGUAGCAGUCUGCACCCUGAAUGGAGCCAAAAGGAAUGGAAGCUGCCUCAUCACAAGACUUGAAUAGCAGUUCCCCAACCCUAGACCUUCAUAGAGGACUUUUUCUCAUGUCUGCUGGAGACCACCUUCAACAUGGAACUGAAAAUGCCUCCUCUUAGCAUCUUUAUUUUUCUGUGUCAAAGCAGAUUAUUUUGCAUGUUUUAUCUUCAGACUAUUUACCCGUAAAUUAUGCACCAUGUUACUGUUGGUGAUUGUUGUAAACAUCAUUGUCAAUGUUUUUUUGUGUUGUUUACUUCAAUUUUCAAUAAAGACACAUUUUCUGUA
Long non-coding RNA from Notolabrus celidotus (New Zealand spotty), 537 nucleotides. RefSeq lists it as uncharacterized. The record is from RefSeq and is a predicted model, not a curated record. The transcript is spliced from 2 exons. NCBI's taxonomy places the organism in Eukaryota, Metazoa, Chordata, Actinopteri, Labriformes, Labridae.